Molecule: long non-coding RNA, 441 nt
Filed under: Setaria italica (foxtail millet)
Lineage: Eukaryota; Viridiplantae; Streptophyta; Magnoliopsida; Poales; Poaceae
Description: long non-coding RNA (SITA_LNC001608)
Source: RNAcentral
GGGCCUGCAUAUGAACUUUUGCUUGUUGCUGGUGGAGACCGCUGUUCUUCAUCACAAUCAAAUUAGAGGGUGGAGCAGCAGGUGGAGUCGUAGCAGCAGAUGAAGGUGUCCCUCUCCCUGAAGAUGCCUUCAAUUGAGGAGAUUGAACUCCCCCUUGGGUAGCACUUGCAGGGUACAUCAUAUUCUGAAAGCUCGCCAUGUUCAGACGGUCUGGGUACCCACCUGCAUUAUUUGGUGUACUUGGUGCAGCAGAUCUAGGCCGAUUCAGAUGGUGUUGCUGCUGAAUCAUCUGCUGAUGCUUCUGGUGCAUCUGAAGGAAAUGCUGGUGCUGCUGGUGCUGCUGCUGUUGCUGCUGAGAAAUGGUGGACGAAGCUGCAGCUGGUGCAGAUGCAGCGGUGGAAGAACUUGUGGAUUUACUCCCCAUACCAAAGGUGUUUGGAG